AGAGUUUGAUCAUGGCUCAGAUUGAACGCUGGCGGCAGGCCUAACACAUGCAAGUCGAGCGGAUGAAGGGAGCUUGCUCCUGGAUUCAGCGGCGGACGGGUGAGUAAUGCCUAGGAAUCUGCCUGGUAGUGGGGGAUAACGUCCGGAAACGGGCGCUAAUACCGCAUACGUCCUGAGGGAGAAAGUGGGGGAUCUUCGGACCUCACGCUAUCAGAUGAGCCUAGGUCGGAUUAGCUAGUUGGUGGGGUAAAGGCCUACCAAGGCGACGAUCCGUAACUGGUCUGAGAGGAUGAUCAGUCACACUGGAACUGAGACACGGUCCAGACUCCUACGGGAGGCAGCAGUGGGGAAUAUUGGACAAUGGGCGAAAGCCUGAUCCAGCCAUGCCGCGUGUAUGAAGAAGGUCUUCGGAUUGUAAAGCACUUUAAGUUGGGAGGAAGGGCAGUAAGUUAAUACCUUGCUGUUUUGACGUUACCAACAGAAUAAGCACCGGCUAACUUCGUGCCAGCAGCCGCGGUAAUACGAAGGGUGCAAGCGUUAAUCGGAAUUACUGGGCGUAAAGCGCGCGUAGGUGGUUCAGCAAGUUGGAUGUGAAAUCCCCGGGCUCAACCUGGGAACUGCAUCCAAAACUACUGAGCUAGAGUACGGUAGAGGGUGGUGGAAUUUCCUGUGUAGCGGUGAAAUGCGUAGAUAUAGGAAGGAACACCAGUGGCGAAGGCGACCACCUGGACUGAUACUGACACUGAGGUGCGAAAGCGUGGGGGAGCAAACAGGAUUAGAUACCCUGGUAGUCCACGCCG
Molecule: ribosomal RNA, 800 nt
Filed under: uncultured bacterium
Lineage: Bacteria
Description: bacterial SSU rRNA
Rfam family: Bacterial small subunit ribosomal RNA
Source: RNAcentral